Homo sapiens (human) is the source of this 1672-nucleotide long non-coding RNA. The record is from Ensembl. NCBI's taxonomy places the organism in Eukaryota, Metazoa, Chordata, Mammalia, Primates, Hominidae.
GUCGCACGCGCUGGCCAAACGGGCGCACCAGACACUUUUCAGGGCCCUGCCAAAGACCUCCCAAUGUCUACUGGCGUCCCAGACACAAGAGAUCCAGGCCAAGACUCACACUUCACAAGAUACACAGACACGGGCCUUAGGGAACAGGAAAUUCCAUGAAACUUCCAUUUACCCAAUUAGCCGGACUCACUGAGCCCCAGAAUAGGGUUUUCAACCAACUCCUACUAAAAUUAAAAAGUAAUGUGUGGUAUAGAUUGGAAUAAUAGACAUUGGAGGCUACAAACGAUGGGAGGCGGAGAGGGGUGAGGGUUGAAAAAUUACCUAUUGGGUGCAACAUUCACUAUCCGGGUAAUGGGGCACUAGAAGCCCACUCCACCACUAUGCAAUAUAUGUAUUUGUACCCCGUAAAUCUAUAAAAAUAAAAACUACAUUAAAAAUAAUAAUAAUGUCUGGUCAUCUAAAUAGUACCUCUACAGCUUAUUAAGUGCUCUGGAGACGUCCCAGUUGCCUGUCCUUCCCAUUAAAGGUGAUAUCCAGUGCUGAUUUCCCCUUCAACCUCGGGUUCCCAUAAACCUCUUCUUUCUCACUCCUGCUGCCCUCCGGUACUCCAAUAAAGAAUGAUAGAUGGGCCGGGAGCAGUGGCUCACGCCUGUAAUCCCAGCACUUUGGGAGGCCAAGGCGGAUGGAUCACCUGAGGUCAGGAGUUGGAGACCAGCCUGGUCAACAUGGUGAAACCCCGUUUCUACUAAAAUACAAAAAUUAGCUGGGCAUGGUGGCGGGCCUCAGUAAUCCCAGCUACUCAGGAGGCUGAGGCAGGAGAAUCGCUUGAACCCGGGGGCAGAAGUUGCAGUGAGCAGAGAUUGUGCCACUGCACUCCAACCUGGGCGACAGAGCAAGACUCCGUCUCAAAAAAGAAAAAAAGAAAAGAAACAGUCCCAGUAUGCAUCCAUGUGCAUGUGCAUGCAGGUGUAUCUGCCUGUGAGAGCUGCGCACGCGGCUCUGAGUACCUGGGAAGACACCCAUGUACAGAUGCUGUACAUGUGCGGGGUCACUCUCUGGCGCAUUCGGAGGCAUGAGGGCUACGUGCAAUGCGAGGGAACCUAUGUCCAGGCUUCCUUUCUUGGUUUUCCUCCUCUGAACUCAUGCAUCCCUUCACAAACAGUCCAGCUCCUGGCUAAAAACCUAUGUGUGAUUUUUCAGCCCAAACACAGGCAAUGACAGGUUUUACCUGGCAGGCCUCACAGCUGAGUCGUGCACAGCUGAUGCGUUGCAGUCUUUAAAGACAGUUGCAGACACAGACUCAGGCCUCCUGGACAGUCGACCUCUCACACACAUCUCCGCUCCCAACCCAAGUCUUCAUUCAGACACGUCUUCAUUGCAGUGGGGUAGGCCUUCGGCCAGGACCUCCUUAUCUUGGGGAGUGGAGAAUCCUUGAAGACACUUUCCUCCAUGCUGACUCAGAAGUUUUCCCACUCUCCCUUCCCCACCCCAUCCCUGGCCCCCAGGUCCGUACAACUUCAGGAGCCUUUUUGUUGGAAGCUUUUCUGCAGUGAGACCAACCCCACACCUGUGCUCAUCCACCCGACCCCAGUUGGCAUCAUUCUAUGAGGAAAUUAGAACAGGUGGAUCUGUGUUCUACAAAAUAAAACAAACCAGGUUCUCUGGUUUAGCC